CUUCUCAGCCCGUGGAAUUCUCCAAGCAGGAAUACUGGAGUGGGUAGCCAUGCCCUUCUCCAGAGGAUCUUCCCAACCCAGGGAUCAAACCCAGGUCUCCUGCACUGCAGACAGAUUCUUUACCAGCUGAGCCACCAGGGAAGCCCCAGUUAACUGCAUAAUGAAUGUGUUUUUUUUACCAGAGUGAUCUUAUGCAAGGCAUAAUUUAAAGACAGUUGUUUCUCACUUGUUCUUUGCUUUUGUUUUGAUUUUCUUUUCUAUUCAUCUGAGGUAUGGAGGGAGUGUUGCCGAGUGAUGUGUGGACAACUCACCUUCAUUGUGAUGCAAACAUCUGAUGUCUACAGAGAAGAAAAGUUGCAGAGCAGAGAACAAUGUUUGUCUUGUUGGAGGUUUAUAGGAACAUUGUGACCAGACCUACAUGGACAGCUGCAAGAACGAAGGAUUCCAGGAUCAAGAACUCUGCAACA
RNAcentral lists this long non-coding RNA (467 nucleotides) under Capra hircus (goat). RNAcentral describes it as "lncRNA (ENSCHIG00000002427.1)". The record is from RNAcentral. Lineage: Eukaryota; Metazoa; Chordata; Mammalia; Artiodactyla; Bovidae.